ACCAUGCAGUCGAACGGUAACAGGUUAAGCUGACGAGUGGCGAACGGGUGAGUAAUGCAUCGGAACGUGCCCAGUCGUGGGGGAUAACGCAGCGAAAGCUGCGCUAAUACCGCAUACGAUCUAUGGAUGAAAGCGGGGGACCGUAAGGCCUCGCGCGAUUGGAGCGGCCGAUGUCAGAUUAGGUAGUUGGUGGGGUAAAGGCUCACCAAGCCGACGAUCUGUAGCUGGUCUGAGAGGACGACCAGCCACACUGGAACUGAGACACGGUCCAGACUCCUACGGGAGGCAGCAGUGGGGAAUUUUGGACAAUGGGCGCAAGCCUGAUCCAGCAAUGCCGCGUGCAGGAAGAAGGCCUUCGGGUUGUAAACUGCUUUUGUACGGAACGAAACGGCGAGCUCUAAUACAGUUUGCUAAUGACGGUACCGUAAGAAUAAGCACCGGCUAACUACGUGCCAGCA
Molecule: ribosomal RNA, 458 nt
Filed under: uncultured bacterium
Lineage: Bacteria
Description: bacterial SSU rRNA
Rfam family: Bacterial small subunit ribosomal RNA
Source: RNAcentral